This is a long non-coding RNA of Mytilus californianus (California mussel), 1791 nucleotides long. RefSeq lists it as uncharacterized. The record is from RefSeq and is a predicted model, not a curated record. NCBI's taxonomy places the organism in Eukaryota, Metazoa, Mollusca, Bivalvia, Mytilida, Mytilidae. The transcript is spliced from 4 exons.
UUAAAAAGAUGUAUAUUUAAUGAGAAGUAAAUGUACAAGGGGUAUAUCAAGAGGUCGUAAAGUACAUAUACCUCCGCUAGCAAAUGGUUAGGAUAUAGAUUCCAGGCUAAAACGGACUUGUUACAUUUGAGUUAAACUUUUCAGUAGACUUUUAGUGCUGUAUUUGAAUCAUGUUAAUGGACAUGAUAUUUUUUGUAUUAUGCUGUCUUGAUUCUAUUAAAAUUUAUUUAUAUACUAUUAAUUAAUUGAUGUCGCUAAUAAUCAUUGACAAUUAAAAUUUUCGUUAAAAUGGGCAUUGAUAAUUUCACUUUUUGUUAAAAUGGAUUAAACAUCAUGCGCUAAAUUGGGUUAUACUUUGGAGCUAAAACGUCACCCAUGAUUUUUUCGCUAAAAUGUCCUAUUAACAUGAUUUAUGCGCUAAAAUGUUCUCUACCGGUAUGAACGUAAUUAUCCAAUAGACUUAUGAAAGCGACAAGGGAAGAGAAAAAAAAUAAUAAGUCAGCGUCAUCUUUCAUUUGCUAAAAAAAAAGAUGUUUGGCAAAAAAGGGGGUGCAAAACACAGUUUUUCCUGACUCCCCUAAUUUUGGAGCCAUAAUUGCAGUUAAUAUAACAUCUUUCUUGACAAGUAUUUCAUCCGAUAAGAAAUGCCUCAUUGUAUCUCUUAAUCCAUGUGUAUGAACCAUAUGGUUUUACUAGCUGUCUAAACGGUGAUUGUAAUCUAUAAUAGUGUGUGUCUCCCGCCAAAUACAGCACACGGUUUGUUUGUGAAACCUUUACACAGCAUUAUACUCUUGGAAUUCUGAAUGGAGGUCAUGGAAGGCAAUACUGAGUAUGUAUAUAACGAAGAGGACGUUUCAAAGAAAUAUGAUAUAGGUUACCAAGAUGAUUUCGAUGAGAAGGCUGACCAGGUGAACAAUCUAUACGAACUCAAAAGAUAGGAAACAUUUCCUGGUUUAGAGAAGAACACCACACAUUUGAUCUCUUGUUGGUUGGGAAAUACAAGUUGACGUUGGAAAGGAAACUAAAUGCUCUACAACAUUUAAAAAACUGUUAUAUAUAGUGCUUCUACAUGUAUGUGUGGGACCCUAAAUAACUCCAACGAGUAUCAGCUAUUACAUCAUGUAUUAGGAGGAUAUGAUCAACAAUAUAUAUAUUUGAGGAUAAGAUUAACAAAUCCUAAAAGUGUGAAUAUUGUACAAAAUUGUCAAUUACAAUAUGCAUAAUAUCUUACUUACUAUAAAAUUUAAAGAAGUGUAACAAAGUUAUCACUUAUGAUUUUUCCAGACGUUUUAAGUCAAAUUAAAUUCCAUUUGUAUAUUUCAGUAAGAAUUCCUAAUUCUAAUUGGACACAUGAAAAAAGUAUUGCUGUUGUAUGUGUGUAUUUUAAGCAGACAGUAGCUACAAAUUAAAAUGUAUUUGAUGUGCUUAAGGGAGUUUAUUAAUGUUUUAUCAAAAUUUGAUGUUAUUGUAAUGAAAAAGUAAGGAAAAUGUUUACCAAUCAUUUGUCAAUUUGUUAUUCUACGAAGACUUUAUAACAAAGGAACAACUCUCACCUCACUGCAAGGCAACCAAGUACGAUUAACUGAGUUCAUUUAUUAUUAUAAUAUUACUUUCAAAUUAAAUGCGGUAUUUUCUUUUCAUACGAUAUAUAUGUCUAUGUUUCGUUUUACCUUGUUAACAAUAAUGUCCUUACCAUUAUUCUGAUAACACUAUAUAUGUGUUUUUGGUCAGAAUUCUGAUAGAUAUACUAUCAGAUUAUUACAUGGCAUUUUUCAUAUCCCGAAGGCUCGA